CUAACCCGAAUAAUUCAGACCCUCCCCGUAAUCGAUCUCUCCUACUUGCGAGGGCCUGAAUUCCUUACACGAUAAAAACUCUUCACGAAUCCUGGAUUUUGAUUGGUGCCCUGUAGAAGAGGUGACCAAUCAGCAAUUAGCUCAAUUUUAUCGAGAUAGGUAAAACCCGAGCUAAUUCCGAAUGGUUGAUUGAAGAUUUUUCAUUGUCUAUGCAUUCAGGCGUUAAUGUAGUAAGCGGAAUAUAACGACUGAAUUAAUCGGGUUACGGGACAUCGGGAUUUAUUUUAUUUAAAUUCGGGACCUCGGGAAUUCGUUUUUUAAGUCCGGGAUUUCAGGAUCAGGACCCCUCCUAUCCCCCCUCUCAUCGACAUCAGACUCGGACUUCUCUUAAAAUUGAACUGAAUAAAUACAAUUUCUUGGUAUUGUUAUGCGUUUACUUU
This 440-nucleotide long non-coding RNA is filed under the name Mytilus galloprovincialis (Mediterranean mussel). Lineage: Eukaryota; Metazoa; Mollusca; Bivalvia; Mytilida; Mytilidae. The record is from RNAcentral.